This 67-nucleotide transfer RNA is filed under the name Asiablatta kyotensis. RNAcentral's name for it is "tRNA-Tyr". The record is from RNAcentral. Lineage: Eukaryota; Metazoa; Arthropoda; Insecta; Blattodea; Blattellidae.
AGUAGAAUGGCUGAGAUAUUAGGUAAUAAAUUGUAAAUUUAUUAAGGAGUUUAAAACUCUUCUACUA